RNAcentral lists this ribosomal RNA (265 nucleotides) under uncultured archaeon. Its description in RNAcentral is "partial 16S ribosomal RNA". It matches the Rfam family "Archaeal small subunit ribosomal RNA", at positions 714 to 982 of the family's 1478-position model. The record is from RNAcentral.
AGACGUCUACAUUAGAUACCCCCGUAGUCCUAGCCGUAAACGAUACUCGCUAGGUGUCGGCCACGGUGCGACCGUUGUCGGUGCCGUAGGGAAGCCGUGAAGCGAGCCACCUGGGAAGUACGGCCGCAAGGCUGAAACUUAAAGGAAUUGGCGGGGGAGCACCACAACGGGUGGAGCUUGCGGUUUAAUUGGAUUCAACGCCGGAAAUCUUACCGGGACCGACAGCAACAUGAAGGCCAGGCUGAAGACUUUGCCGGAUUAGCUG